Molecule: long non-coding RNA, 2578 nt
Filed under: Cucumis sativus (cucumber)
Lineage: Eukaryota; Viridiplantae; Streptophyta; Magnoliopsida; Cucurbitales; Cucurbitaceae
Description: long non-coding RNA (CSAT_LNC001935)
Source: RNAcentral
UUAAAAUAAAAAAGUAAACUUUAACUCUCCCGCUUUUGAACUCUCCUCCUUCCACACUUUGACUUCAACUUCGGUGCCUCUGGUGAACGUCUCUUCCAUCCAUUUCUUCUCCACGGCUCUGUGUUUUUAGUUUCGACUUCAACUUUGGUGAACUCUUCUCCACUCCUUUCUGAUUUCAACUUCGUUUUCACCGGACCUCUCAAUUUCUUCUUCACGGAUCUUUGUUUUAUUUUCGAAUUGAUCAACUCUGGUGAACGCUUCUCCACUCCUUUCCGAUUUUAGCUUUGUUUUCACCAGACCUCUCUAUUUCUUCUCCACUCCUCUCCGUUGGCAGUAUCGUAUCCAUCCUCUUUGAAGUCAAGUGAGUAAUAAAAUCUAAGUUUUUUUUUUUAAUAUAUAAAUCAUUAUUGUUUCAGUUGUCUAUUGAGAUAUAUGAGAUUUUUGUUGGACACAUUUUAGAUAUACCAUUAAAUUUGUAGAGAAGAAAUGCAUAUGUUCUACAGGCACACACACAUAGAGAGCCGUGGGAACAUGAAUUCUGUUUUUAGGCAGAAGAACCAUAUUGGACGAAGAACCAUUUCCACUCACCACAAACUGUAAUAAUAGAUAAUUGGGUUAAUAAUCCAUUAUAUUUGUGCAUGCUACAAAUAUAUAUAUAUAUAUAUAUAUAUACAUACCUUGGAGUUUAGAACAUGAAUUCUAGCAUAUUUGGUAUCCCAUCUAAACUCAACAAAGCUACCAGUAGAAUAAUGUUGAAAGACAUUAUCAUUUUUAGAGUUAAUCACAUUAUUAUAAUCAAAAGUUGCAUUGUUGUUCUCUACUUUGUUGAUGUUUUUAGUGAUGUAGUUCCAAUAAACUACAAUCUUUGUUGCCUUGUAUAACCAAACAGCUUCCCAUAUUAAUUCGUCCUAUGUCGAACCAGUAUUUAGGAUUCGUUUGUUAGAGAGAAUUUGAAAACAAAUGAUUCAAUGGGUUUUGUUCCUAAACAUAAGAAUUGUAGGCUUUCCUCCCACUAUUAAUCAUUUUAGUAAAGGUGUUACAAUAUAUGUUUAGGAGUGCAAGCAAUUUGAUUUAGUAAGCCUCCUAUGAACUUGUCAACCCCCUAUCACAUGUUUAUUUAGCAUGCCCUUACACAGGUUUAUUGCUAUGGUAAGCCUCUUAUGAACUUGUCAACCCCUCACUAGCAAUCUCAUUUUAGUAAAGGUGUUACAAUAUAUGUUUAUUGGGCUUUAAUGUUUUAUCUCACACCUAUCUCACACAUAUCAAAAUUUCAAUAGGAGUUUCAAAAGGAGAUUGCUAUCCUUCCUAAACCGUUUAGAAUGGUCCUAUACAUGUUUAGCAAGUUUAUUAGGCUUAGCAAGUUUAUUAGAAUGUUUUAAUAUUUUAUCUCGCACAUAUCAAAAUGAGAUUGCUACCCUUCCUAAACCGUUUAGAAUGAUCCUAUGUAUGUUUAGCAAGUUUAUUGAGUCAUAAUGUUUUAACUCGCACCUAUCUUCCACCACAUAUAUUUAAGCUUAAUUUGGAUGUUUGUUUGAUAAUUAAUUUAGCUUUUGAUAUUGCAUAUGUAGGAGAUUGAAGUUAAUUUAGGUGAGUUUUGGUUGAAUUUGAACUGAGUUGGAAUGUGAAAAAGAUUUCCAAGCAAUGGAUGUUGGAAUUGUCUUUCAAACGAAUUCUCGUGUGGAUGUCAAUGGGAGUAUUGGUUUUGUUAGUUGAACAUCUUGCUUUACGUUUGGAUAUUAGAUGUUUAAUAUUGUUAUGCAACAAUUUGUAUCUCUCCAACUUCAGGCUAAAUAGAUAACAUAACAUUUAAUUAUAUGAAAAUUUGAAUUCCAUCCAUUUGAUAUGAAUGAUUCUUUGACAAGCUAGGUUAUUACUAGUUAGCUUUCUUUUGUCCUCUGAUGAUAUUUGGAGUGAUGAAGCAUAAUUAUUAAGGUUCAUUUUGUAGCUGCCUGAAUUCUUUUGUUUUUGCUGUGUUGUUAGACUUCCCUGUGAUCAAGGACGUAGUUGAGGCUGCUGAUUUAUUGAGCAACAAAUGUCAUCAUAUUGUUUUGGUUGAAUCAAUAUGUAAAUGACCAAUUAUUAUUAUGUAUUUUCUAAUGUUACAAGAGUGAUUGUCAUUUUCACUUUUGUCUACAUAUCUCAUAGUUGAUGAAAAUUAUCUUCAUUCUUUUAAAGAUAAAGUAAGUAUUAAAUGUAGAAUAAUCAAUAUCAAAAAAGAUGAAAAGGACAUCAUAUCUUUUAAUGGAGCAAGUAUAUCAAUUUUGUUAUUACACGAGCUAAUUUUUGUGGAUUGGAUGGUUACAACUUACAAAAUUAAGAUUCAAAUGUUAACAUCAUCUCCUAAAAUAAACAACCCACGUCAAUUAAAGUUCGACCCAAACAAAAGAAAUUGGAAUAAAAAAAUUCCAUAAAACCUAUAGAUAACAUGGCCUUACAAGGAAAUAAAAAUAUGUAAGAACCUCCAACCAAAUAGUAAUCUCUUAUUCCAGACUAAGGAAAACCUCCCUGCUUAUUCCAGACCCAAGAGGCGCAUGAUUGAAUGCCUAAUUAGGUAAGAAUCACAAAAAACUGUAGAACA